AUUUAGAAUAAUCCGAGCAGGAGGGCAGCCAGGCCCAGGUGCCUGAUGGAAGCUUUAUGAAGUCACUCAUGGAGGGACGAUGGGAACUUCCAGCCACACUGCCUGUGGCUUCCACAUUCUUCAGCAGGCCCCUCAUAAGAUCAUCACAAGCAACACAGAGAAAUGUUGGCCUGCUGAAAAUAGAAGUGCAGAGACUCUCUCCCGUGACAGAAUGAGGCGUGGAGGAUUCGCAGAACUGUUUCCUCAAGGGCCCCAUAGUGAUACCGUCUUUUAUUCCUUUUAGUAGCCUCAUCAGUGCCCUGAAUGCAGUGACUUGUGUCAGGACAGCGUUCUCCAUGCUGGCUGCGGGUGACGGCCUGAGCCCCGGUACAGUAUUCCUGCUGGCCUCAGACCGCCCUCCCAGGCAAAACCUGGGGCCAGCCUGUCUGCAGUCUGAAAUGCCCUCCAGAUUAUCCUAAAUGUGCAUGUUAAUGACCAUCAGAUCUGAGAGCUGGUGGAGAAAUUAAGAUAAAUAGA
This 516-nucleotide long non-coding RNA is filed under the name Homo sapiens (human). Its description in RNAcentral is "non-protein coding lnc-IRX4-4:1". Lineage: Eukaryota; Metazoa; Chordata; Mammalia; Primates; Hominidae. The record is from RNAcentral.